AUUGAACGCUGGCGGCAUGCCUUACACAUGCAAGUCGAACGGCAGCACGGGAGCAAUCCUGGUGGCGAGUGGCGAACGGGUGAGUAAUAUAUCGGAACGUGCCCAGUCGUGGGGAUAACGUAGCGAAAGCUACGCUAAUACCGCAUACGAUCUAUGGAUGAAAGCGGGGGAUCGCAAGACCUCGCGCGAUUGGAGCGGCCGAUAUCAGAUUAGGUAGUUGGUGAGGUAAAGGCUCACCAAGCCGACGAUCUGUAGCUGGUCUGAGAGGACGACCAGCCACACUGGGACUGAGACACGGCCCAGACUCCUACGGGAGGCAGCAGUGGGGAAUUUUGGACAAUGGGCGCAAGCCUGAUCCAGCAAUGCCGCGUGCAGGAUGAAGGCUCGGUGUAACUAGC
RNAcentral lists this ribosomal RNA (398 nucleotides) under uncultured bacterium. RNAcentral describes it as "bacterial SSU rRNA". It matches the Rfam family "Bacterial small subunit ribosomal RNA", at positions 30 to 433 of the family's 1533-position model. The record is from RNAcentral.